Molecule: ribosomal RNA, 253 nt
Filed under: uncultured bacterium
Lineage: Bacteria
Description: partial 16S ribosomal RNA
Rfam family: Bacterial small subunit ribosomal RNA
Source: RNAcentral
UACGUAGGGGGCGAGCGUUGUCCGGAUUCAUUGGGCGUAAAGAGCUCGUAGGCGGUCCCGCAAGUCGGGUGUGAAAUCCCAAGGCUCAACCUUGGAACUGCAUCCGAUACUGCUGGACUUGAGGCAGGUAGGGGAAGGUGGAAUUCCCGGUGUAGCGGUGGAAUGCGCAGAUAUCGGGAGGAACACCGGUGGCGAAGGCGGCCUUCUGGGCCUGUCCUGACGCUGAGGAGCGAAAGCGUGGGGAGCGAACAGG